CAAGAGCCUUGUCCCCAAUGGCUUUCGUUGCCCAGCCUGUACUACCAUCUUUUCGGAUCGCUGCCAAAGUACAGAGAUGGUAAACUGUCUGGGUCCACAAUCCCGCUGCUUUGACAUUGGAGUUUUCAUAAAACCUCCUAAACCCCUGGAAAUAUUUGAAAACCUUGGACUACCCGGGAGUGUCCGAGGCUGUGGAACAACAGAUUAUUGUCUUGACAAAAUAGGAGAAAAACAACUGCUUGGUGGCUUAAUUAACCUCAACAUCACUCAUGAAGAAUGCUUCACCCCUGAAGCAGACCAGCUUGACCUUGACGAGGAAGCAAAAAAGGAAGCCUAAUUAACCUCAGCAUCACUCAUGAAGAAUGCUUCACCCCUGAAGUAGACAUGUUUGACCUUGACAAGGAAGCCAAGAAGAAGAGAUUCCACCAUGCGCAGAACAGGAGAAACACACAUGAAUUCUAGGGGACAAUGCUGACAAAGCUGAGGCUCUUUCUGCACUUACCUUUAGUAAAUCUGGAUCAGUGGGUUCGGAAUAGCCUAGUCCACUCACCCCAUCCACAGGAAGGCAUGGGCAGGAUCAGCCCAUGCCAUGGCCACGAAGAUCACGCUGCACCCCUGUGCCCCCAAGGGCUAGGAACAAAAGUGCCUAGCCUUGGGAAUUCUGGGAGGUGCUAAGGCACACUGCUGAAAUGUGCCCCUUGGUAGCCCUGAACACAAGAAGCAUGUCUUCUGCAAGCCUCCCGUGUUCCAGAUCAGGACCACACUGGUCUGCUGCAAAACCCAAUUAAACAAGUCUAUCAGUCAUCCAGAUUAAGGUCUCCCUUAAUCCGAAUCAUGCUCUCUCUGAUGCCCUUAAUCCAGGCCCUUAAUCCAGUUUAAGGGUGCAUGCAGGAAGGCCCUUCCUCUUUCUGGGUAAUGAUGGUGAAUGGGGACUUGCAGGACCUAUAAUAGUAAGGCAGCAAAAAGAUCCAACCAAAUAUACUGGUUGCUGUGAUGUCCCGCCUUAUUUACUAUAACUUUCCAUUAAAUACCAUUUACCUAUGAUUAAUUUUCCUUUCUUUCUUUCCCCUUUCUUGUCACACUUUCUUCACUCCCUUACUUCAAUGUUCA
This 1110-nucleotide long non-coding RNA is filed under the name Salvator merianae (Argentine black and white tegu). RNAcentral's name for it is "lncRNA (ENSSMRG00000005579.1)". The record is from RNAcentral. Lineage: Eukaryota; Metazoa; Chordata; Lepidosauria; Squamata; Teiidae.